This 23-nucleotide non-coding RNA is filed under the name Cricetulus griseus (Chinese hamster). The record is from RNAcentral. Lineage: Eukaryota; Metazoa; Chordata; Mammalia; Rodentia; Cricetidae.
CUCGUCCUACAUGAAGGAAUAGG